UACUCACCAGAACUGACUGAAGAUCUAAAUGUAAAACCUAAAAUUAAGCAAUGUGUUCCCGCGUGUGCGUGUCCUCUUCGUGCGUAAGCGUAAAAGCACCGACAGCGUGCUGCACGCUCGGCUAUUGGUCAGCUGAGUGCACGCACUGGAUUGCGGAGGCUCUGCGUUGCAUUGCCAGUGAAAGCAGCCUGCGCUAUGAGGAGGAGACACGGAGGAGUAGCGUGACGUUUACUUCAACGGAGCACAUGAGACCUACAUGGGAUUUAAUAGGUUACACUAAAAAUCUACGGUGGUCUGUAUUCGGAAAUGCUGUCUUAAAACGAAGUGGCGUCAUGGAUGUCAUAAUUUGUAGACGGUCCAAAAUCCUCAUGAAGGUUGAAGCCAAAAUCCUUCAGCCCAGCAGCAUCUUCACAACGUACGACAGCUGGAAUUGUGCGAUUCGUGACAUCGCGUCGGUAUGAGGAAAAUAACUGGCACACUGUAAAGCAUCUGAUAUUACUCCCCCAACCAAGAAGAAUGCUGCAACAGAACAACAACAAUAACUGCUUGGACAUAGCCCAUAGGGAGCUAUUGCAUGAAUGCCGAAGAACCAAUGUCUCAUUCACCAGUGCCCUUGAGUUUGGAGCCAUACCCCUGAUUAAAGGCCUGAGAGCAUGGGCUGUGAGUGGCGGCUACUCUAAAGCCAGGAGAAAGGCUGCUAAUGGACCGCGAGCACAGGGCACAUGCCAACAGCCUCCUGAAAACAGGGUGGGGCAGAGAAGCUGGUCAGGUCAGGUCAGCAGUGGCUAUGGGCACACACUGGAUAGCACAAUUAGUGCAACGAGAACUCCAGGGGUCAGGCAAGGCAGUCUUGGCGCUCUUGUAACUGUGGCCACUUUGAAAGGCACUGACGGGGGUGGCAGGCAGACUCAGACACGCUGCCUCUUUCUCAAGGCCCAGGGAAGGGGCAGCUACAUCUGUGCUGUUGGAAACCGAGGGACUGGGACGAGAGUCACAGGUCCACGGACUCACACUGUCAUCCUUGAGGGGACAAAGGAAGAGCUUAGAUGUUCCUCUAAAGGGCCAAAGCUGAGCCAGGAUGGGCCAGACGAUGGUGGGCUUUUCAAGGCCAAGCCCAGGGCCAUACGAAAAUGGAGGAAGUGCAGUAAAACAACAGGCUUAGCUGAGAAAAGAACAGCGGCUCACGGCAAAGCGGAAAUUGCCAAUCAGGGCGGUCAACCGAAACACGGUGACCAAAAAAAAGCAGUGAUUUCAGACGCACAACCACUUAACGUAAUACCAGAUAACAUAAUAACACAAUGCCAAAAGGGUAGCAGUGCUAGCUAUCCACUUGAAGUCACUAUCAGCUUGAAGUUGGGCAAAGACGAAAGGGCUCAUUCCCACAUAUCAGUGAAAACUGACGCACCUGAGAGCACGGAUCCACAAACCUGCUGCUCUUCUGCCAAACCAUGUGCCAAACCAGGUGAGCAGGUUGAAGCUGGGAUGAGUAUUAAUCAAUCCGAUAACUGUUCUGAAAAAGAAUCCAGUUGUGCCAAUGGUGAUGCACACGGAGACACUGAGGUUAAUAAAUGUGACCUUGAUGCAAAUAAUCGCCAGAACAUUCAAAACUUUGUUGCUGAUGUGCCAAACCUAGGGUCAUCUGUAGCAUCUGAGACUAACUUUGAUAGUCUAGGAAUCAAAUUGCCCACAACAAACUGUAAUACUGAGCCAAGCAUGGAUCAUUCUCCCAUGAUAACUCCCUCCAAAGUCCCUGUCAGCAUUCAGAAAAAUCAAGAAGCCAGGCCAGAUGAGUGCCUACUGAACCGUGAAAAUCUACAUUCGGUGGAGCCCGGUGAUCUUACAACACAGAGAGAUGGGACUCCAGACACAAAGAAUACUGUUGUGCCUGAGGGCCGCACUCCAGUGGGUGUUGAAUGUAGCACUAAAGAAAAGAAGAGGAGGCCGUCCAUGUGCUCACCUCAGCAUUGGGAGGAAUUAAUCACAGAGCAUGGAGAACUUGAAGUUCAGCAGUCUGACAAAUCCUCUUCACGAGGCUUUAGCGCACCAACAGCCAAUAUAACGGUAACCACUAUUCACUCCCUGGUUAAUCCUGCCCCUACCACCACUGCAGCCAUAGCAACAGCCAUCCCAGCAUUAAGCAAGGGGGAGGUGGGGGCAAGAGGUGGAGAUUUGCUGCCUCUGGUGAACUCAGAGUUGCUAUCAGAGCCGGCAAGAGUUGACGACAAGGACAAGGUGGCCGCUGACGAGGGGUCUCUUGAUGUGGGCGAGGAGGAGGAGGAGGAUGAGUUUGGGACUUUCAUGCAGGCAGGUGGAGAGCAGCUGUGGACGGACGGAUUCAGUGAGAUCCAACAUUUGGCUGAGGAUUGCAACUGUGAGGAACACACAAGUUCUGCUGAUGCAAAUGAACCCGCAUCCUGGGCAUCUGAUUGGACUGCAGUUCAGUCAUUCCAGCAGUCAGAGAGCACAUGGACUGCCUUCAGCCAGGAGACUGUGGAGCAGAAGAUAGUGCAUGGUGGCCAGUGGUGGACUUCUACCGAAAAACCAAACCUUCCCCUCUCUCCUCUCCAUAAUGUGUCAAAUGUGUUUCUAGAGGCCUUUCCCUCUGAAAAGUCCCCCUGUGAAGAUCCUGAAUACAUUCCUACACUAAAGCAGUUUCUGCAAGGACCAGCUGAAAACAGCAAUACAGGGGAGCACAAGGAGCAGAGCUUACUUGAUGGCCUCCAGGAUCUAGACCGGAUGAUUGGUGUGAAAUAUAAGAGGGCGGAGUCUCUUUCCCGUAAACUUCUCCUUCAGUCACUGCAUUUGGAACGUCCCAGUUCUGAAUGUGUGACCGUUCGUCUGAAGACCAGUGCCAGAUUUUCUCCAAAUCUCCCAACAUCCAACCAGCAGUUAGCUGCAAAUGCUAAGAGAAGACUGUCAUAUGACUUCAACAGAAAUAUUAUGACCUAGUCUCUAUAUCUGCCGAAACAUCUUUGACCUAUGCUUCCUUGAAAACAGGAAAUACAGGGCAGAGGAAAAAUACAUGCUGAAAAACUGAAUAACUGAGUUUCCCUGGAUUGAAUUCUAUUCAAGGUUUAUUUAAAGUGUAUUUCUUCUUUCAGUGUCUGUUCUCACUCAAGUGUCUGGUAGAUUCUGUUUCUCAUUCAGCUGUGUAUCAAGACACACAAGACCUAUUUAGCCAAAUAUAUGUUUUUCAGUAUUUCAGAAUAUUGGGAUUAAAUUAGGACAAAUAUACUAAAAUUUCAAGUUAAAAACCCCUUUGCCAAAUUGUCUAGUCCAGGUGUAAGGAAUGAAUCUGGUUAUUGAACCGAUUUUGAUAUAACUGAUAUAAUCAGAUAAAAAUAAGUCAAUAUGCAUUUGUGUAUUACUUUCAAUAAUUGCUAUGUUAGUACUAACAUUUGUUAGAAUAAGAUCAUUUUUCUGGAAUCAUAGCAAACCAGUUAGUGCACGUUCUCACAGGGAUGUAGCUGCAAAUCUAGGCCUGUCACGUCCUGAUCCACGUCCCAAACUUUCCUUCCUACGGUCUCAAAUUAUGUCAAAUUAAAUUUUAAAAAAAAUUUGAUUUUAGGGGGUAUUAGGAUUAAUUUUUGCUCCCCGCAAGUUCUCCUUUGCCUGAAAACUGUCAAAGCAAAUUUCCACAAAAUGUAUUUUCAUACACCACCUCUCAGAGAAAUCCAUUUUCUUGUUUCCAUGUCUUUUUCCCCUGUGCUUGAAGUACUAAAUAUAACACUGUAGUGUACCAUUUUUAACCUCUGACGAAUAGAGACCAUAUUUUCAGAAGUGUUUUAAGAUGAAUGUUAACAUUUUAAAUUGAACCUGUAAGCUUGUUUGUUGAUUGAUGUAAUUAAAACAUCUUUGAAGGACUGAAUGAAGUGGAUAACUGAGGGAUCAACCAUUUAAUGUUUCAUUACUAAGCAGAUGUGCUAAACGCCUAUGACUUACGAACACAAAAUAACUUUAGGCUCAUUUCAGUUAUGUGCACCAGGGGCAUUUCCUCUUAAGAGGCAAGGGAGGCAGUGCCUCCUCAAAAUACUGGAUGAGAAAAAAAAAUUGUAUGACAAAAAUAAAAACGCC
Molecule: long non-coding RNA, 4074 nt
Filed under: Sinocyclocheilus anshuiensis
Lineage: Eukaryota; Metazoa; Chordata; Actinopteri; Cypriniformes; Cyprinidae
Description: lncRNA (ENSSANG00000012212.1)
Source: RNAcentral